UCCCAGGUGGCUCAGCUGGUAAAGAAUCUGCCUGCAGUGCAGGAGACCUGGGUUUAAUCCCUGGGUUGGGAA
This 72-nucleotide transfer RNA is filed under the name Bos taurus (domestic cattle). It matches the Rfam family "tRNA". From Rfam's summary of the family: Transfer RNA (tRNA) molecules are approximately 80 nucleotides in length. Their secondary structure includes four short double-helical elements and three loops (D, anti-codon, and T loops). Further hydrogen bonds mediate the characteristic L-shaped molecular structure. tRNAs have two regions of fundamental functional importance: the anti-codon, which is responsible for specific mRNA codon recognition, and the 3' end, to which the tRNAs corresponding amino acid is attached (by aminoacyl-tRNA synthetases). tRNAs cope with the degeneracy of the genetic code in two manners: having more than one tRNA (with a specific anti-codon) for a particular amino acid; and 'wobble' base-pairing, i.e. permitting non-standard base-pairing at the 3rd anti-codon position. Lineage: Eukaryota; Metazoa; Chordata; Mammalia; Artiodactyla; Bovidae. RNAcentral also lists the same sequence under 1 other name. The record is from Rfam by way of RNAcentral.